CAUACCCGGAUCACUCCCCUUUGUAUUUUAUUGCCAUGUAAUGGGAUGUUCUUUAAAUUCUCUGUUGAAUGAAUGAGACUAGGUCUGAGUGUACAACAAUUAAAGUGACAUCAACAUUCUUUAAACCAGAGUUGUUUUGGAGAAAUUCCCAGAGAGGCUCUUUCUUAAGACAUGAGGCUAGGGAACUAGAUGUGAUUUAGUGUAGAAGUCCUAUCCCCUUGGAACCAAAGCAGAACCUAUUAUUCACUAAGGGUGGAGUCGACAGGAGAGCUUACAGCCUGGUGGAAGAAUUGGAAAUCUUAUUACUAGAAAUAAAGGUGAGAAUAAGAUGGAAGUGAUCCCCUUACCACCUCAGAGAGAAUAAAGGAUUAUACAGAA
Molecule: long non-coding RNA, 378 nt
Organism: Homo sapiens (human)
Lineage: Eukaryota; Metazoa; Chordata; Mammalia; Primates; Hominidae
Gene: EIF1AX-AS1
Product: EIF1AX antisense RNA 1
Source: Ensembl